This 200-nucleotide ribosomal RNA is filed under the name uncultured bacterium. RNAcentral's name for it is "partial 16S ribosomal RNA". It matches the Rfam family "Bacterial small subunit ribosomal RNA", at positions 8 to 209 of the family's 1533-position model. The record is from RNAcentral.
AGAGUUUGAUCAUGGCUCAGAUUGAACGCUGGCGGCAUGCCUUACACAUGCAAGUCGAACGGUAGCACGGGGGCAACCCUGGUGGCGAGUGGCGAACGGGUGAGUAAUACAUCGGAACGUGUCCUGUAGUGGGGGAUAGCCCGGCGAAAGCCGGAUUAAUACCGCAUACGACCUGAGGGAGAAAGCGGGGGAUCUUCGGA